ACUAUGCACGAAAGUGCGAUGGGGCAACUCCGAGUGUUGUCGUAAUGGCAACUUUUCCUAAGUGUAACAAGCUUGGGGAAUAAGGAGAGGGCAAGACUGGUGCCAGCCGCCGCGGUAAAACCAGCUCUUCGAGUGGUAGGGAUGAUUAUUUGGGCUAAAGCGUCCGUAGCCGGACUCGUAAGUCCACGGUUAAAGGUCAGGUCUCAAAUCUGUACAUUGCCGUGGAUACUGUGGGUCUAGAAACCGGGAGAGGUGAAAGGUACUCCAGGGGUAGAGGUGAAAUUCGUUCAUCCUUGGGGGACCACCUAUGGCGAAGGCAUUUCACUAGAACGGGUUCGACGGUGAGGGACGAAAGCCAGGGGAGCGAGCCGGAUUAGAUACCCGGGUAGUCCUGGCCGUAAACGAUGCGUGCUAAGUGUCAGGGUACAUGCGGAGUAUCCUGGUGCCGAAGGGAAGCCGUUAAGCACGCCCCCAGGGGAGUACGCUCGCAAGGGUGAAACUUAA
Molecule: ribosomal RNA, 504 nt
Filed under: uncultured archaeon
Lineage: Archaea
Description: bacterial SSU rRNA
Rfam family: Archaeal small subunit ribosomal RNA
Source: RNAcentral